AGAGUUUGAUCCUGGCUCAGAAUCAACGCUGGCGGCGUGCCUCAGACAUGCAAGUCGAACGAGAACGUUAUCUUCGGAUAGCUACUAAAGUGGCGUACGGGAGAGUAACACGUAAGUAAUCUACCCUUGGGUGGGGAAUAACUUAGGGAAACUUAAGCUAAUACCGCAUAAUGCAGCAGCUUCAUAAGGAGCAGUUGUUAAAGGAUUUAUUCGCCUAGGGAGGAGCUUGCGGCAGAUUAGCUUGUUGGUAAGGUAAUGGCUUACCAAGGCAACGAUCUGUAGCCGGUCUAAGAGGACGGUCGGUCUCACUGACACUGAAUAACGGGUCAGACUCCUACGGGAGGCAGCAGUCGGGAAUUUUGGGCAAUGGGGGAAACCCUGACCCAGCAACGCCGCGUGAAGGAUGAAGUCUUUCGGGAUGUAAACUUCGAAAGUAUAGGAAGAAUAAAUGACGGUACUAUACGUAAGCUCCGGCUAACUACGUGCCAGCAGCCGCGGUAAUACGUAGGGGGCAAGCGUUGUUCGGAUUUACUGGGCCGUAAAGGGUGCGUAGGCGGCGCGACAAGUCACUUGUGAAAUCUCCGGGCUUAACUCGGACGGCCAAGCGAAACUGUUGUGCUAGAGUGCAGGAAGGGCAGCUGGAAUUCUUGGUGUAGCGGUGAAUUGCGUAGAUUUCAAGAGGAACACCUGAGGCGAAGCAGUUGCUAGACUGACACUGACGCUGAGGCACGAAAGCCAGGGAGCGACGGGAUUAGAUACCCGGUAGUCCUGGCCCUAACGAUGAUGCUUGGUGUCUGGAGUCUUAUGCUCUGGGUGCCGUCGUUACGCUUUAGCAUUCCCCUGGGGAUACCUCGCAAAGUGAACUCAAAGAAUUGACGGGACCCGCCCAAGCGGUGGGCAUGGUGUUUAUUCGCAGCACGCGAAAACAUUACCUGGCUCGAAUGCGAGGGAAAGUCGCAUAAUCGUGGCUGUUUGGGCAACCAAACCCGAAGCAAGGU
RNAcentral lists this ribosomal RNA (998 nucleotides) under uncultured Acidobacterium sp. RNAcentral's name for it is "bacterial SSU rRNA". It matches the Rfam family "Bacterial small subunit ribosomal RNA", at positions 8 to 1039 of the family's 1533-position model. The record is from RNAcentral. Lineage: Bacteria; Pseudomonadati; Acidobacteriota; Terriglobia; Terriglobales; Acidobacteriaceae.